Molecule: ribosomal RNA, 252 nt
Filed under: uncultured bacterium
Lineage: Bacteria
Description: partial 16S ribosomal RNA
Rfam family: Bacterial small subunit ribosomal RNA
Source: RNAcentral
UACGUAGGUCCCGAGCGUUGUCCGGAUUUAUUGGGCGUAAAGCGAGCGCAGGUGGUUUAUUAAGUCUGGUGUAAAAGGCAGUGGCUCAACCAUUGUAUGCAUUGGAAACUGGUAGACUUGAGUGCAGGAGAGGAGAGUGGAAUUCCAUGUGUAGCGGUGAAAUGCGUAGAUAUAUGGAGGAACACCGGUGGCGAAAGCGGCUCUCUGGCCUGUAACUGGCACUGAGCCUCGAAAGCGUGGGGAGCAAACAGG